GGGCCCGCACAAGCGGUGGAGCAUGUGGUUUAAUUCGAUGAUACGCGAGGAACCUUACCAGGGCUUAAAUGUAGUGGGACAGGUCUAGAGAUAGACCCUUCUUCGGACUCAUUACAAGGUGCUGCAUGGUUGUCGUCAGCUCGUGCCGUGAGGUGUCAGGUUAAGUCCUAUAACGAGCGCAACCCCUAUCGUUAGUUGCCAGCGAGUAAUGUCGGGAACUCUAACGAAACUGCCAGUGCAAACUGUGAGGAAGGUGGGGAUGACGUCAAAUCAUCACGGCCCUUACGUCCUGGGCUACACACGUGCUACAAUGGUAGGUACAGAGAGCAGCCAAUGCGCGAGCAUGAGCAAAUCUCAUAAACCGUGGCUCAGUUCAGAUCGUAGGCUGCAACUCGCCUACGUGAAGGAGGAAUCGCUAGUAAUCGCAGGU
RNAcentral lists this ribosomal RNA (430 nucleotides) under uncultured bacterium. Its description in RNAcentral is "bacterial SSU rRNA". It matches the Rfam family "Bacterial small subunit ribosomal RNA", at positions 917 to 1349 of the family's 1533-position model. The record is from RNAcentral.